CGAGUGCGUCCCUGGGGCGGUGCGUCCUUACCGGGUCUGCGGUAAUAACCUGCGGUUCGCGGUGUGCAGGGGAGGGGGAGCGAUCCCUCCGCGGUCGCCAGAGGCCUGGUCGGUGCGGCGUUGCUGUUGCGAGCAGGGCCGCAAGGCCUGCGUGAAGCCGCGCCUGCCUCUGUGGAGCUUUAGUCUGGUCUGUUCGCUUGGAAUAACCAGCGAGGCCUAAAAUGAGGAUUUUCAUGCCCGGUUGUGAGCUGUGAACCUGUGAGCUAACCUCUCUUUGCCUUGCUUUGCUCGGUCCAACUGCUUAACGAAAUAACAACAACUUGGGACCCCAGAAUAAAAAUUGUCACGGUGCUUAAGGGAGGAUCUGUUUUUGCCCAGGUUAGCGAACCAUAAUUAAAGCUUUGGGAAAAAAAAUCUAAAAUGAGAAUCUCCCCGUGACCUUGGUGGUUUGAUUGAUUUGCAGGAUCCUGUUCUGAGGGCCGGCAGCUCGAAGAGGAGCAGCUCAGCCCGUUUUGUUGGUUUCGGUGAUGCUAUUUUGAGGAAGCACGUAAGUACAGAAGGGGUCUGGGAGGGUUUUCAAACAAGAUGGGAAAGAGUAAGGAAGAUUUGAGGGUGUGGAAAAACUAGGUACCACGGGUACUGAAGUUGUUAAGGGUGUUUGAGGUUAAGCGUCUGAAAGGGGCUAAUGCGCACGGAACAGUAAAAUACCGUGACCGAACGCAGGGUUCCUCCCCGGCCUGGGCCUGUGCGCGCGCCCUUGCUCUUGCAGAUGCCCUGGAGCCACAGGGAAACGGGCAAGCGGGCCCACGAGCGGGCUUUGGGCACGGCAGCGUGCAGCGAGCUCUGCGUGCUCGGCAGCUCGACCCGUCGUUGAUUUAGUGCUUCCUGAGGGGCCAUGCUGGGCUGUCAACACCCCCGCCCCCCUCUCCACUGUCGCUUCCUGAUGAAGGAUGCUUUGAGCUUAUCUUAGUAAGUGCAGUCGUUUACGUAGCUUCUGGCUCGUUUCUUUCCUUGGAACUCCUUGCUCUUUGUUGUUCUGGUCCCUCCAAACAAUUACUGCUUCUAGUAUUAUUAAUGCUGGGCCGUAAACCUUCCAGAGCUUCCUUCUUUGAAGUCCAGGAGUUCAAGGAGUUCCAGUAUUGUUUGUACUUUAAGAGUAAAGGUCCUUCACAACUGAUGUCUUAAGCAUGCAACUGUCUUAUCUGGGAUUUUUGUUUUCGCAAGUUACUGUUUCUUUCAGGAGCCAGCUACAACAGUAACUUUGCUAUAGUAGAGAAAUGGGGUUACGAGUGUAUGAGCAACAGCGCCAGAGUACACAGCAAAACCCAUCAGCUCCGUCUCUCUGGAGUUUGGAGUUUUUGGAGGCCUUAGUUUUAUCCUGCCUUGGCUGGACAGUGCUUUCUGAGAAUGUCCGUCAGAGGCGGAGUUUCCCUGCAGAGGACCAUCUAGCAAAGGCUGGAGGUGGCUGGGUGCCUGAGCGAGCCUGCUUGUGCGUGAGAGCCGCUCUGACAUCUUUGCGAUGAAAUGGAGCCAGAGAGGGUGACUGAAGCAGCACGGAGGGUCGGUCACGACUGUGGGAACAAUCACGGGCCUUGGACUAGGGAGCAGUUCUAGCAGGAGGGCCGUGCGGUUGCCCAGCCUCUCGGUAACUGCUCUGGCCUCUUUGCAGGUGCCGAAGCCCAGCUGGGCAGUCGAAGGAGCCUCGUUGCAGCUGGGAGCUCUGUGGAGAUGCGUGGCCGGCCGUGGAGGAUGAGCUCUGACUUGCAGCAUGGACGCAGCUAAGUCCUGGGCCGCAUCGUAUGCGAGCAGUGCUGGGAGGUGCAAGGCGGUUGUCCCCUAGGUGUGGUCACUGGCGCCGCUGGCCUUGGCCGUUUGCCCACGGAGCUGAGAGGACCAAACAUACUAAUUGCCUGACCUGGAGAUGAAUUAGUGCUUGCAGGGUUUCAGGUAGGUUCAGUGCAAGUGCAGCUUAGUGCAGUCCCGUGGAGUGACGCUUGCACAUGCUCACAUUUGAAUGGUGGCUAAAACCAAGCCUCUAAACAGCAACUGUAAUGCAGUUCUGGUGUGUCUUCCUGUUCUGCUGUACUUCUGAAGGAAGGGAAAACUUAAGCUGUGGGCAGAACUCCUUGGCUUCUCUUGACUUUUCAUGCUCGUGGGUGCUUUGGUGCUUGUUGCUUGAAGUUGAGGGUUUGGAAUUUUUCACUUAAGGUUUAUUGUUUAGUUUGUUGUUGAGGGUCUCUCACUCCGGAGUUACAGUUUAUUCCUUUCUUUUGUGGGGCUCAGUCUUUAUCAGUCAGCGUUUACAGUUUGCUCAUGUAGUGAUCAGGGUGCAGGAUUUAAAAUCCAACCUCAUCCAUAAAUUUUAAAGCCUCGGCAACCGCUGGGGUUCCAAGACUUGCAGUUUGUCACUUAGCGUUCAGGGCUUAUGACUUGCUGAGAAAUGAGAAGGGCUAAAUCCUUAGAUAAUAAGCUGUAAGCCCUGAAGCCUAAGCAGCAGGCUGCAAACCCUCCUUUGGGCUUUGUAACCUUCCCCUAUACCCAGCAUUCAGCUUUGCGUGCUGACCUGAGCUCUGGAUUUGAUAUGGCGCAGGCCGAUCACACUGAGACUGGCAAUGUGACAGGCGAGCUGAGAGCUGUGGAAGUGUCUUGCAGGGCUCUAGUCUGGGGUAGGGCAGAAGUGCAGACAGGCGAGAUCAGGCAUUUUCCUCUCAUCUCUGAGAUGAAUCCUAGCCCUGAAGGAAAAAGCAGAGGAGUAGGCUGUCGGCUACUCGGACAGCUGCCACGUCAAGGGCAGCAGCAGGAGCUGACCCUUUCCGACGGACGGAUGGACACUGGUGUGGUGAUGACUCUUCAGGCAUCACAGGUAAGGGGAAGCAUGCUGACACUGAGCUCCAUGGCAGACUCUCUUCCAGGUGUUGUUUCUGUGCAGUAAAACAAUAAAUAGUUGCCUUAUUCUUUGCA
Long non-coding RNA from Dromaius novaehollandiae (emu), 2961 nucleotides. RefSeq lists it as uncharacterized. The record is from RefSeq and is a predicted model, not a curated record. The transcript is spliced from 2 exons. Lineage: Eukaryota; Metazoa; Chordata; Aves; Casuariiformes; Dromaiidae.